Molecule: long non-coding RNA, 1570 nt
Organism: Pistacia vera
Lineage: Eukaryota; Viridiplantae; Streptophyta; Magnoliopsida; Sapindales; Anacardiaceae
Exons: 7
Source: RefSeq, a predicted model, not a curated record
CAUAAAUACAGACUCUUCACGUUCCCAAUCACAUUCACGUACAAAUGCUUCACUCCGUAUUCACAUUUAAAUGAAGUAUCAAGAUCCAGACUCAAUCCGUAAGUUUUCUCAAUUUUUCUUUGGUUUUUUAUCUCAUUUUUCUAGAACAAUCUAUAUGUCGCAGUUCAUCACCGCAAUGGGUUACGAUGACGAUCCGUAAGUUUUCUCCAUUUUUCUUUGCUUUUUUUCUUAUUUUUUCUUGAACAAUCUAUCUAUCGAUGUUCAUCACCGCAAUGGGUUACGACGACGAUCCAUAAGUUUUCUCAAAUUUUCCUUGCUUUUUUUUUAUUUUUCUUGAACAAUCUAUUUGUCGCAGUUCAUCACCGCAAUGGGUUACGACGACGAUCCGAUUCGGUGAUAAAAAUUCUUGAUACUUUGUACGUGAAAGAGAUUAUGCUAGGUUUUUUGUAUUGGAAACUAUUGCAAGAGUUCCUUAUUUUGCUUUUAUCUCGGUUCUGCAUUUGUAUGAGAGUUUUGGUUGGUGGAGAAAAGCGGAUUAUUUGAAAGUCCAUUUUGCUGAGAGCUGGAAUGAGAUGCAUCGCUUGCUUAUCAUGGAAGUGAGAUUUUUACAUGAUUAUUCCUAACUUUUUUAGGUUUAUACACUUUAAUGUAAUUUUUUAAGUCAGACAGUUCAUCUGAGGAGGCUUGCCCUGUUACUUAUGGCAGGCAGCCUGUGGUUUCCUCCAAAAUCCACAUUCUGUUUGCCGUAUCCAGUUCUCUAUCCAUGAUAAUAUGUUGGGUGAAGUUUCCCAAACCCAACUAAAGGGAGCAUAACAUCGGUGAAGUAAAGGCAAGUGUAAAAAGAUUAUAGGGUUGAGGAGGAAAAUGGACAUUGCCAAAGUGACAUGAUCGAGGCCAUUUUAAAUGACCAUUUUCUUACUAACUUGCAAGCAUAUGUAGUGGCUAUAAAGGCAAUACGUAAAACAGAGCCUCAGAUCUUAAGCAACCUCAGCCAACUUCACCUUAUUCCUAUCUUUUUGAAUCAAUUCUACUAACAGAAGCACACUAAAAUUUGGCUUGAUUGGCAAGGGCAAUUCUUCCAUUGGACAACUGUUCUUAAAUAACAUGAAUAAUUUAUUAUCACGCAGUACCAUCAGCUGUGAUGAACCAAUCCCUUUUCUUGGAUUAAGGUGGACAAAGCAGGGGCCACAGUGCCACAGUUCUAUCUCAGGAGGCAAACAAGGGACUCUGCAUAGCUAUGUGAAAAGGGAGAUACCAACUAAAUAUCAUAUACGGAUAUGAAUUGUCGAUGCUUUACUGGCUCAUCUAAACACAGGAAAGGGGAUGAUGUGCAGCAGGCUUAUCGUGGCGUAGAUGUGAAAUUUCAAUAGCAUCAACAUUUCAUGGGUGCCUCAUGAACUUACGGGACAUUUCUUAUGGGAAUGAAUCAUUGUAUUUUGUAUAUGAUUUAUAGUGAGUCAGUUGGUGGUGGUGGUGUAAGUUAGAGGGGUGUAUCAGUUUCUAUUAACUUCUAUUUGUCUGUUUAUAAGUAUUAUGUAAUACAUUUUGGCUGUGCUAUUUUCUAUAUACU